This 283-nucleotide RNase P RNA is filed under the name Chloroflexota bacterium. Its description in RNAcentral is "RNase P RNA component class A". It matches the Rfam family "Bacterial RNase P class A". From Rfam's summary of the family: Ribonuclease P (RNase P) is a ubiquitous endoribonuclease, found in archaea, bacteria and eukarya as well as chloroplasts and mitochondria. Its best characterised activity is the generation of mature 5'-ends of tRNAs by cleaving the 5'-leader elements of precursor-tRNAs. The record is from RNAcentral. Lineage: Bacteria; Bacillati; Chloroflexota.
CGAGCCGGUCGGGUUGUCGCGCCACGCGUGAGGAAAGUCCGCACUCUGCAGGGCAGGAUAGCGGGUAACGCCCGUCCGCCGAGAGGCGAGGACCAGUGGCACAGAGACUAAUGCCGGGUAAAGCCGGAGUGAAAAGGCCAAACUCUAUCCGGAGCAAGCCCAAGCCGGGACGAUGACGCGGCCCGCCGAGUCCCAGGUGGGGUGCAAAGAACCGCCGGGCAACCGGUCGGUCAAGAUAGAUGGCAACCGAUUACAGAAUGCGGCUUAUAGAUCGGCUCGGUGA